GCCGCCUUAGCUCAGUUGGUUAGAGCGCUAGAUUGUGGAUCUAGAGGUCGCCCGUUCGAGACGGGCAGGCGGUACCA
RNAcentral lists this transfer RNA (77 nucleotides) under Paracoccus sulfuroxidans. RNAcentral's name for it is "tRNA-His". It matches the Rfam family "tRNA". From Rfam's summary of the family: Transfer RNA (tRNA) molecules are approximately 80 nucleotides in length. Their secondary structure includes four short double-helical elements and three loops (D, anti-codon, and T loops). The record is from RNAcentral. Lineage: Bacteria; Pseudomonadati; Pseudomonadota; Alphaproteobacteria; Rhodobacterales; Paracoccaceae. RNAcentral also lists the same sequence under 5 other names.